AGCUCCUGAAGCAGCGCACAACCACCACAAACUCCAGCUCUCCUCUGUCAAAAUGCCAGACUCUAAUGAAGCUGUGCCAGCACCAUGCCAGGUUAUCAAAGAGGACGUUGACAAAUGUGUCAGAGAGAAGGGAGCAGAGGACUGUAAAGAUCUGAUAGAUGCCUUCCAGGCCUGUAUAAAAGCCCUGUCUGAGGGAUCGUGAUACAUGAGAAGUACAUCUUUAUAAAAUCUUCAUUUAAUCAAAGCCUUCCACUUUCCCAGCAUUCCCUUCGAUGCUUAUUGCACUGGACUGAACCAUCAGAGAAACUGAGGAGGGGGGUGAUGACACUGUGCUUCUGAUACUGUAUUCUUCUGUCAAUGUGAAAGAUGUUUGUUUUUUUUCGUGAAUGUUGUAACUUCAUUAUGGACUCCACUAUAACACUGACUGCCUGUGCACUGUAACAUUUUAUGCACAAAAAUACAAUAAAAAUACAAUAAAUAAAAAGC
Long non-coding RNA from Epinephelus fuscoguttatus (brown-marbled grouper), 486 nucleotides. RefSeq lists it as uncharacterized. NCBI's taxonomy places the organism in Eukaryota, Metazoa, Chordata, Actinopteri, Perciformes, Serranidae. The transcript has 3 exons. The record is from RefSeq and is a predicted model, not a curated record.